This 266-nucleotide ribosomal RNA is filed under the name uncultured Thermanaerovibrio sp. RNAcentral describes it as "partial 16S ribosomal RNA". It matches the Rfam family "Bacterial small subunit ribosomal RNA", at positions 1120 to 1382 of the family's 1533-position model. Lineage: Bacteria; Thermotogati; Synergistota; Synergistia; Synergistales; Synergistaceae. The record is from RNAcentral.
CACGUAAAGGUAGGGGGACGUCUCAGUGGGACUGCCGGCGACAAGCCGGGGAGGGUGGGGACGGACGUCAAGUCAUCAUGGCCCUCAUGUCCAGGGCGACACACGUGCUACAAUGGCCGGCACAACGGGAAGCGACGGCGCGAGUCGUAGCGGAUCCCUCAAAGCCGGUCCCAGUUCGGAUUGCAGUCUGCAACUCGACUGCAUGAAGCCGGAAUCGCUAGUAAUCGUGGAUCAGCCAAGCCGCGGUGAAUACGUUCCCGGGCCUU